CACCAGUUACGUGGGAAUUUUGGACAAUGGGCGCAAGCCUGAUCCAGCAAUGCCGCGUGCAGGAUGAAGGCCUUCGGGUUGUAAACUGCUUUUGUACGGAACGAAACGGUCUGCUCUAAUACAGCGGGCUAAUGACGGUACCGUAAGAAUAAGCACCGGCUAACUACGUGCCAGCAGCCGCGGUAAUACGUAGGGUGCGAGCGUUAAUCGGAAUUACUGGGCGUAAAGCGUGCGCAGGCGGUUAUAUAAGACAGAUGUGAAAUCCCCGGGCUCAACCUGGGACCUGCAUUUGUGACUGUAUAGCUAGAGUGCGGCAGAGGGGGAUGGAAUUCCGCGUGUAGCAGUGAAAUGCGUAGAUAUGCGGAGGAACACCGAUGGCGAAGGCAAUCCCCUGGGCCUGCACUGACGCUCAUGCACGAAAGCGUGGGGAGCAAACAGGAUUAGAUACCCCGGUAGUCCGG
This 461-nucleotide ribosomal RNA is filed under the name beta proteobacterium SCGC AAA024-N23. Its description in RNAcentral is "bacterial SSU rRNA". It matches the Rfam family "Bacterial small subunit ribosomal RNA", at positions 349 to 798 of the family's 1533-position model. The record is from RNAcentral. Lineage: Bacteria; Pseudomonadati; Pseudomonadota; Betaproteobacteria.